RNAcentral lists this transfer RNA (107 nucleotides) under Wolfiporia cocos MD-104 SS10. RNAcentral describes it as "Wolfiporia cocos (strain MD-104) (brown rot fungus) tRNA". It matches the Rfam family "tRNA". From Rfam's summary of the family: Transfer RNA (tRNA) molecules are approximately 80 nucleotides in length. Their secondary structure includes four short double-helical elements and three loops (D, anti-codon, and T loops). The record is from Rfam by way of RNAcentral. Lineage: Eukaryota; Fungi; Basidiomycota; Agaricomycetes; Polyporales; Phaeolaceae.
GGCCGACUAGCUCAGUUGGUUAGAGCGUGGUGCUAAUACUAGGACAAACCCUAUAUUAGGGUUUCCUGGGAACGCCAAGGUCGUCGGUUCGAUCCCGGCGUUGGCCA